Molecule: non-coding RNA, 46 nt
Organism: Canis lupus familiaris (dog)
Lineage: Eukaryota; Metazoa; Chordata; Mammalia; Carnivora; Canidae
Source: Rfam
UAACAGGAUUUUAUAAAAUUCACAAAGAUAUUCAAGAAAAUGUCUU